UACGGAGGAUCCAAGCGUUAUCCGGAAUUACUGGGCGUAAAGCGCGCGUAGGCGGCUUUGCAAGUUAGAGGUGAAAGCCCGAAGCUCAACUUCGGAAUUGCCUUUAAAACUGCAGAGCUAGAAUUGUGGAGAGGUGAGUGGAAUUCCGAGUGUAGAGGUGAAAUUCGUAGAUAUUCGGAAGAACACCAGUGGCGAAGGCGACUCACUGGACACAUAUUGACGCUGAGGUGCGAAAGCGUGGGGAGCAAACAGG
RNAcentral lists this ribosomal RNA (253 nucleotides) under uncultured bacterium. Its description in RNAcentral is "partial 16S ribosomal RNA". It matches the Rfam family "Bacterial small subunit ribosomal RNA", at positions 524 to 776 of the family's 1533-position model. The record is from RNAcentral.